AGGUAAGGGCAUCUGGUGAAUGCCUUGGCAUGUACAGGCGAUGAAGGACGUGGCACGCUGCGAUAAGCGUGGGGGAGCCGUGAGCAGGCUUUGAUCCCGCGAUUUCCGAAUGGGAUAACCCACCUUCACCAUUUAAUCUUUGGUUCCCCGCCUUGGCGAGGACUAAAGGUUAAAUGGGAGAGGUAUCACUAAGCUGAAUAAAAUAGGCUUUGGUGAAGCGAACCCGGAGAACUGAAACAUCUCAGUA
This 247-nucleotide ribosomal RNA is filed under the name Sphingobium xenophagum. RNAcentral's name for it is "partial 23S ribosomal RNA". It matches the Rfam family "Bacterial large subunit ribosomal RNA", at positions 1 to 208 of the family's 2925-position model. Lineage: Bacteria; Pseudomonadati; Pseudomonadota; Alphaproteobacteria; Sphingomonadales; Sphingobiaceae. The record is from RNAcentral.